This is a non-coding RNA of Pelobates cultripes (western spadefoot toad), 322 nucleotides long. NCBI's taxonomy places the organism in Eukaryota, Metazoa, Chordata, Amphibia, Anura, Pelobatidae. The record is from the annotation of a GenBank genome assembly.
CUACCUUACCAUGAUAUCAGCAGAUAAUUUUUUUGGAGAACACAUAUGAAUGUUGUGCCAUUAUGUAUAAAAAGUAUCCAGUAGUAUUCAAUAUGGAUUCUACAUACAGCCUGAGGUACUUUUCCUGCACAGCCCCACAGCGUAAGGUAGCUCAUAAAAACAUGGUGAUGUGGCGGCCUUCAGUUAAAGGACCACUAUAGUGCCAGGAAAACAUACUCGUUUUCCUGGCACUAUAGUGACCUGAGGGUGCCCCCACCCUCAGGGACCCCCUCCAGCCUGGCUCUGUAAGGGGGAAAGGGGUUAAAACUUACCUUUUUCCAGC